This 89-nucleotide transfer RNA is filed under the name Caldesia parnassifolia. Its description in RNAcentral is "tRNA-Ser". It matches the Rfam family "tRNA". From Rfam's summary of the family: Transfer RNA (tRNA) molecules are approximately 80 nucleotides in length. RNAcentral also lists the same sequence under 1 other name. The record is from RNAcentral. Lineage: Eukaryota; Viridiplantae; Streptophyta; Magnoliopsida; Alismatales; Alismataceae.
GGAGAGAUGGCCGAGUGGUUGAUAGCUCCGGUCUUGAAAACCGGUAUAGUUCGCAAGAACUAUCGAGGGUUCGAAUCCCUCUCUCUCCU